RNAcentral lists this ribosomal RNA (497 nucleotides) under uncultured bacterium. RNAcentral's name for it is "partial 16S ribosomal RNA". It matches the Rfam family "Bacterial small subunit ribosomal RNA", at positions 28 to 507 of the family's 1533-position model. The record is from RNAcentral.
GAUGAACGCUGGCGGCGUGCCUAAUACAUGCAAGUCGAGCGAACGGACGAGAAGCUUGCCUCUCUGCUGUUAGCGGCGGACGGGUGAGUAAUACGUGGAUAACCUACAUAUAAGACUGGGAUCACUUAGGGAAACCGGUGCUAAUACCGUAUAAUAUUUUGAACCGCAUGGUUCAAGAGUGAAAGACGGUCAUGCUGUCCCUUAUAGAUGGAUCCGCGCUGCAUUAGAUAGUUGGUAAGGUAACGGCUUACCAAGGCAACGAUGCAUAGCCGACCUGAGAGGGUGAUCGGCCACACUGGAACUGAGACACGGUCCAGACUCCUACGGGAGGCAGCAGUAGGGAAUCUUCCGCAAUGGGCGAAAGCCUGACGGAGCAACGCCGCGUGAGUGAUGAAGGUCUUCGGAUCGUAAAACUCUGUUAUUUGGGAAGAACAUAUGUGUGAGUAACUGUUCACAUCUUGACGGUACCUAAUCAGAAAGCCACGGCUAACUACGUG